Non-coding RNA from Pogona vitticeps (central bearded dragon), 503 nucleotides. The record is from RefSeq and is a predicted model, not a curated record. NCBI's taxonomy places the organism in Eukaryota, Metazoa, Chordata, Lepidosauria, Squamata, Agamidae.
UGAUGUACGCUGACUUAGGCAUUCUGUUUUUCCUCUUGGCUUUGCUCAGCCACCGACAGCACACACGGAAGUCCACUUUUUCUCCAAAACCUGAGCAUAGCAGAACUCUUCCCUCCAACUGGUUAUCAGAGCAAGGUAGCCGUCGAGGAGGCUCGAAACAGAAGUUUGAGCCAGUUCUGGAACCGGGAACUUUUCUUACCCCAAGGACUGGUUUGGUUUGUCUGCAAUUUGUCUCCAGAAGUUACACACAGGAUUCCUUUGAAUAGACUUGCCAUAUUGCCUGUUUCAGUGGAUUUCCCCCAGAUUUUAGAGGAACCACCUGCUUCCCAUUUGGACCAUCACUGGGCCUGGACUCCAAGCUUUCAUUUGUGAAGGACUAAGUUGUACAGAAGCAUUUGGUGGUGAACAAGCAUAAAAAGUAAGCACAGAAUUUCUUGAUCUCACAUGUAGGCCACUUCAAAGUAUAUAAUACUUUUAUUUUCAAUAUCUUAGUAGCAGUUAAU